Molecule: ribosomal RNA, 1075 nt
Filed under: uncultured bacterium
Lineage: Bacteria
Description: bacterial SSU rRNA
Rfam family: Bacterial small subunit ribosomal RNA
Source: RNAcentral
AGAGUUUGAUCAUGGCUCAGAACGAACGCUGGCCGUCGUUUUACAACAUGCAAGUCGAGCGAGAAAGCCACCUUCGGGUGGUGAGUAAAGCGGCGCACGGGUGAGUAACGCGUGGAUAAUCUACCUGUAGGCCUGGGAUAACUCCGGGAAACUGGAGCUAAUACCGGAUAAGACCACGGGGCCUUUGGGUCCUGCGGAAAAAGGUGGCCUCUUCUUGAAAGCUACCGCCUAUCGAUGAGUCCGCGUCCCAUUAGCUUGUUGGUGAGGUAAAGGCUCACCAAGGCUUCGAUGGGUAGCUGGUCUGAGAGGAUGAUCAGCCACACUGGAACUGAGACACGGUCCAGACUCCUGCGGGAGGCAGCAGUCGGGAAUUUUGGGCAAUGGGGGAAACCCUGACCCAGCAACGCCGCGUGAGGGAUGAAGGCCCUCGGGUCGUAAACCUCUGUCGGAAGGGAAGAAAGGUCUCCGUUCGAAUAAAGCGGGGGCUUGACGGUACCUUCAAAGGAAGCACCGGCUAACUCCGUGCCAGCAGCCGCGGUAAUACGGAGGGUGCAAGCGUUGUUCGGAAUUACUGGGCGUAAAGCGCGUGUAGGCGGCUUGGCAAGUCGAGCGUGAAAUCCCAGGGCUCAACCCUGGAACUGCACCCGAAACUGCCUGGCUAGAGUCCCGGAGAGUGUGGCGGAAUUUCCGGUGUAGAGGUGAAAUUCGUAGAUAUCGGAAGGAACACCAGUGGCGAAGGCGGCCACCUGGACGGUGACUGACGCUGAGACGCGAAAGUGUGGGGAGCAAACAGGAUUAGAUACCCUGGUAGUCCACACCGUAAACGUUGAGUGCUAGGCGUCGGGGGUAUUGACCCCUCCGGUGCCGGAGUUAACGCAUUAAGCACUCCGCCUGGGGAGUACGGCCGCAAGGCUAAAACUCAAAGGAAUUGACGGGGGCCCGCACAAGCGGUGGAGCAUGUGGCUUAAUUCGAAGCAACGCGCAGAACCUUACCUGGAUUUGACAUCUGGGGAACCUCCUGGAAACAGGAGGGUGCCUUCGGGAACCCCAAGACAGGUGCUGCAUGGCUGUCGUC